RNAcentral lists this long non-coding RNA (231 nucleotides) under Vigna radiata. RNAcentral describes it as "long non-coding RNA (VRAD_LNC005525)". The record is from RNAcentral. Lineage: Eukaryota; Viridiplantae; Streptophyta; Magnoliopsida; Fabales; Fabaceae.
GAGAAUGUUGCACUAUGUUACCCAAAGAGUGGAUCAAAACUGCACUAAAACACAACACAAAAAAGACAAAUUUUAAUAAGUUGAACGACAAGAUAAUCGAUAAAAAACUAAAGAAAGUUUAAACGGUAAGCAUAAGAAAAACCACGCACCUGAGAUGAAGAGAGAAAAAGGAGAGGACGGAGACAAUGACGUUAUGAGAAAAUACAAUGCAAUGCCGGAAGAGAUAAAAAG